UCUACGUACUAUGGUUUACACAUGUUUACAUGUAUCAGGCAUGUCCUAAGAUUUUCCUCUAAUAGAGGUUUGUUUUUUGGUAAGAGAGAUCAAAUAUAUCUCAAUACACGGGGAGAUAGUUAACACAAGGAAGGGUAAUUUAUUGGUGUGAUACAUUGCAUAGCUGAAGAAUAUACUAAAGUUGAACACAUCUUUGUGACAGAUUUUCUGCAUAAAUUCUAUUAACAUGCUGCACCUGCAAAUCGAUAAUGAGAGGAUUAUCAAAUCUGUAGCAUAUGCCUGUGGUAAUGAAGAAUAAUUCCUCCAUCGUUAACCUUAGUUGAUCCCUGACAACUCACGUAUGAUUUAUUGAGUCUGUCGAAUUAUUAUCUCAAACAAACUUUCUUCUCGGGUCAUGGUACCAAGGCUGCUGUUUAAGAUGUCUGGCAGAGAGAGUUCUGGAUUUGACAACUGUCUGUAAGCUACAACAACCUACAGAACUUUGCCUGUUGGUCACAUUUCUGAAACAUGAAGCUUACAGUUGAGACGGCCAAUCUUUAUCUUUCAUUCUGCUGGGGUAGUCUUUUUGCCCCAAGGUUAUAUUGGCUGCAUGGUACAGAGAAGGUUAAAUUCAUGUUUGUUCCAACACAGGGCACUGAAAUAAGUUAAUAACAAAAGGGUUAUCGUCAUGUGGAUUGUAUUGGAUAGAUUGCGGAACAUGAAACAUGUAUUGGAUUUUGAGUUUUCAUCAAACAUUUCAAUAAUUCAGUGUACUUUCAACUCCAUACAGGAACUUCCCAGGACAAAAUUAUGACCUAGUGCCGAGUGUGAAGCCUGGCUCUGCUAGUUUUCAUCAAAAUCCUAUUUCCUUUAUCAACAGAUUUUCCUUUUGCACCUGGAGGUCAAAGGCCAAGGCAAAGCUUCCAGACAUGCCCAUACAUUUCCUUCAAACAAGCAACUUUUUUUGACAGCUGAUGUUAUUAAUGACUUCAGCAAGCAUGUCGGCAUGUAAAGGUUAUGGGUUUGAUAAAUUUGGAGAGAAACAAGUCAAAACAGAGAGGAGUUACUGUCUGGCCUGUAAAACUUCUACUGAUCUGUUUCCUGUGAGCCAUGCUGAUGACUAGCAUCCAGAUGAAACAAAGGAGAGACAUAAAAAGGGUUAAAAAUUCUUUGUAGGAAUCACACUUUUCAAAAGUUCAAAAUCCGUUGGACACUAAGGAGUAUAUCAUCCAGAUAUGUGAAAAUGAUAAAACAAAAAUUAAAUGUGGACUUUAUCUUCAGGCAUCCAUGGAUACUGAGUAGCACAUUUAGAGGAUUUCAAUCUUCCAAUCUACACUUUGACAAUAAAUUAAUGAUGACAAAAAUCAAAAGAUUGUCUCUUUUCCAAUGUGUAUGUUUAAAUAUGCUGUGAAAGUCCAUUGCACUUUUGCAAUAUUCUAGACACUUGUAUUUGUGCAUAAAAGACUUGUUAUAAGGUACCGGUAGUAUUUCUUCCACCUAAUGUUACAGUUAUAGUACUAUGGUAUAGUAUACAUCAGAAAUUGGAAAUUAUCUUUACGUUUUGAACAUUAUUAUUCCCAUCACAUGCGCCUGUCUGUGCUGGUGCCUUUAUGGUGCCUGAUCCAAAUGCACACUCCAACUUCUGACAGCUCCGGCAAUAAUUAAUGACUUCCCCUGCCCCCAGCCAAGUGGGAGGAGAUGUUUUGAAGAUAAUGUUGGUGGGAAAAAAUUCAAAAUAAGGGAAGUUCUGUGUGAACGGCAAAUUUGCGAACCGCCUGGCCCUGAGACAGUAUGUAAAUGAGGAAGUUACAGCCUCCCCCUACAACAGUCUGCUACUCCAUACUUGGGAACAGUUGCGAGUCUGGAGCCCACAGGAGCAGGGUGGGGAGAGGCUUCUAGCAGGAGCAGUGGGACCAUUCACUGGGAGAUAGACGUACAGGCUUUACUCUCUGAUAGCAGUUAGGUGAUCCAUGUGAGUGACUUACCGGGCUGGACAGAAUGCCCUCCUGCAGGCACAGGAUGGACUCGUUCACAAAACGUGUUAUCAGACGCAUCUUGAUGUCCUCGUCUGUAUUGCUACAUCAACAAAACAACAACAGCUGCGUUAGGAGCACGUCACUUGCAGACACCCCUUGGAUUCAAUGCGAAACCUCUUGAAGAUUUCCUCAGCACCAGGGUUCAGCUCACGGCCCUUCUUGCCCUUGCCCCCGCUGUACAGACAAAAUGCAGCCUUACCAAGGAAGCCCUGGCUGACCAUGGUCUUCAGCACCUCAGGAUCACCGCCUCCGAACCUGACUCCAAACUCCUUCUGCAGAUCCUCCGCCACGUGGGACCCCACAUCAAUACCGACCUCGUCCAGCAGUGUUGCCGUGCCUACGGGAAAACCUGCCCUCGUAGUCAGCUGGUCCAGUUUCUGAGGGCCCUCUCCCUCCUAGGACAACAUAAGGAACUGUCUGACCUGCAGGAGCCUGAUGAUCUCCGACAGAGUUGGCGCCAGGACCCUGGUGGUGUAGAAUCCAGGGCCGUCCUGCACGACGAUGGGGUACUUUCCCUGCUUCAGACCCACUGCUACAGCUGCCGCACACGUCUCCUU
Molecule: long non-coding RNA, 2572 nt
Organism: Branchiostoma floridae (Florida lancelet)
Lineage: Eukaryota; Metazoa; Chordata; Leptocardii; Amphioxiformes; Branchiostomatidae
Exons: 5
Source: RefSeq, a predicted model, not a curated record